RNAcentral lists this long non-coding RNA (601 nucleotides) under Mytilus galloprovincialis (Mediterranean mussel). Lineage: Eukaryota; Metazoa; Mollusca; Bivalvia; Mytilida; Mytilidae. The record is from RNAcentral.
AUGUUCCCAAUAACAAGCUGUUUACCCAAACCACGUAGCGUUACGUUCUCCAAAUCUCCAUUUUCUGCCGGAAUUAAUUUCUCAUUUACUAAUGUAAUCAUUGCAGCAGUGUCAACAAUCAUGCUCACAUUCUGGUCAUGCAUAGUACCUCGUACUGCUAAGCUCUUUCAAAUGGUUCGUCGGAUGACAAUACCGGACGAGGACGUGGACCUCUGUUCGAUUUUGUGAUGAGGUGAUGUUUCAUGGUCAAUAUACUUUGGAAUCGUGCGUUGGCCUACUGGCCCGACCCUUUGCUGUUGAAAGACUCCAUUGUUGGGGCUGCACUUUGAUUUGCUCCGUAUCCUGGUGAAGGUGACCGUUGUCUGAAAUAACCGGGAUUUCUGGAGUUUGUCCGUGGAGAUGCUAACCGUUGUCUUUAGGAACUAUAUGAUCUCUAGCUUAGUGGGGGUGUUGCUGAUCGAUAGGCAUUAAGAUUGGGUGUAUAUCUGUUUGGCGAUAUACCGCGAUUGUAUUGCUCAGGAGAUCUUUCACGUGUAUAUUGAUCAGGUCAUCUUCCAUUGAACUGGUGAUCUUCCAUGAUUAUUUGAUCAGAAGAACCGAG